RNAcentral lists this ribosomal RNA (482 nucleotides) under uncultured bacterium. RNAcentral's name for it is "partial 16S ribosomal RNA". It matches the Rfam family "Bacterial small subunit ribosomal RNA", at positions 30 to 507 of the family's 1533-position model. The record is from RNAcentral.
AUUGAACGCUGGCGGCAUGCUUUACACAUGCAAGUCGAACGGUAACAGGCCGUAAGGUGCUGACGAGUGGCGAACGGGUGAGUAAUGCAUCGGAACGUGCCCAGUCGUGGGGGAUAACUACUCGAAAGAGUAGCUAAUAACGCAUACGAUCUUUGGAUGAAAGCGGGGGACCGUAAGGCCUCGCGCGAUUGGAGCGGCCGAUGUCAGAUUAGGUAGUUGGUGGGGUAAAGGCUCACCAAGCCAACGAUCUGUAGCUGGUCUGAGGGGACGACCAGCCACACUGGGACUGAGACACGGCCCAGACUCCUACGGGAGGCAGCAGUGGGGAAUUUUGGACAAUGGGCGCAAGCCUGAUCCAGCAAUGCCGCGUGCAGGAAGAAGGCCUUCGGGUUGUAAACUGCUUUUGUACGGAACGAAACGGCUCUGGUUAAUACCCGGGGCUAAUGACGGUACCGUAAGAAUAAGCACCGGCUAACUACGUG